RNAcentral lists this small RNA (29 nucleotides) under Bombyx mori (domestic silkworm). RNAcentral describes it as "ovarian small RNA-24460". The record is from RNAcentral. Lineage: Eukaryota; Metazoa; Arthropoda; Insecta; Lepidoptera; Bombycidae.
UCAAAGUCCCCCCCGCUGCCGGCGGGAAG